AAGCUAUUGUGUGCUAUUUAUUUUUGUUUGUACAUGUAUUAUUAAGUAAUACAUAUUUCCAUAUUCAUCAUUUUGUGAAAAAAGAUCCACGUUGUUUACACUAGAGAAAAAUUUGUGGAGGAAAGUGAAAAAUGGUAUACUUCAACCUGCAUUUAGACUUGAUCAGAUCUUCUCUAGCAGUGGAUGGUCUUUGUCAUCAUGAGUCCCUUGGAGUUGCCCUGGAUCCUUGCAUUACUGAUAAUAGAUAAAAAGAAAUCAAGGAAAGAAAGAAGAAAGGAAGAAAAGAAGGAAGGAAGGGAGGAAGAAAGAAAGGAAGAAAGAAAGGAAGGAAGGAAGGAAGAAAGGAAGGAAGAAAGGAAGGAAGAGGAGAGAAGGAAGGAAGCUAAAGAGAAAAAAAAAGAAAAGAAAGAAAGCCAUAGUCAUAUACCUUAAUUUAUCACAUGGUCUAUACUUGAAGCUUCUCCAGUUUAUUGCCACAAGAGCUUGAGAAUACCAGACUAUCUUUAUGCCAUGAUGAGAUAUCAGGAUAGAGCUAUAGUGGAGGACAAAAUUUCCGUGAGAGCAUAUGAUUCAUAGCCAAGAGGGUGCUGAGCUUGAAGUAAUUAAGAGUAGGGUUCAAAUCUUGCUAUUGAUACUAACUGUUCAAACAUAGGCACCUCACUCAAUCUCUGUAUGACAUAAGCAACUUCCCAGGACUUUUCACCUAAAUCAAAGAUAGGCUGUGAGCUGCAUUGAUGGAGGGGAAUUCCCUAGGUUGACAAAAUCAUAGAUCUUUUGUCUAUAUGUGUAAAUCUUUGUCAUGAGAACUGUGAGUAGAAUAGUGUUGAUCAAACCGAGAAGCUGUCAGUUAUACACCAUGCUGUCUCCUCAUAAAUGAAAGAUCUGUUAUAAUCCUACUAAAAAUCACUCUGGGGCAGCUACAUGGUGCAGUGAAUAGAGUAAGGACCAACGUGGAAUCUGUAAGACCCAAGUUCAAAGUCAGCCUCAGAUACUUACUAGCUAUGUGACCCUGGACAAGUCUCUUAAACGUGUUUGC
RNAcentral lists this long non-coding RNA (1036 nucleotides) under Monodelphis domestica (gray short-tailed opossum). RNAcentral describes it as "lncRNA (ENSMODG00000047924.1)". The record is from RNAcentral. Lineage: Eukaryota; Metazoa; Chordata; Mammalia; Didelphimorphia; Didelphidae.